UACGUAGGUGGCAAGCGUUGUCCGGAAUUAUUGGGCGUAAAGCGCGCGCAGGCGGUCUUUUAAGUCUGAUGUGAAAGCCCCCGGCUCAACCGGGGAGGGUCAUUGGAAACUGGGAGACUUGAGUGCAGAAGAGAAGAGUGGAAUUCCACGUGUAGCGGUGAAAUGCGUAGAGAUGUGGAGGAACACCAGUGGCGAAGGCGACUCACUGGCCCGGUACUGACGCUGAGGUGCGAAAGCGUGGGGAGCAAACAGG
This 253-nucleotide ribosomal RNA is filed under the name uncultured bacterium. RNAcentral's name for it is "partial 16S ribosomal RNA". It matches the Rfam family "Bacterial small subunit ribosomal RNA", at positions 524 to 776 of the family's 1533-position model. The record is from RNAcentral.